RNAcentral lists this ribosomal RNA (629 nucleotides) under Dietzia cercidiphylli. Its description in RNAcentral is "bacterial SSU rRNA". It matches the Rfam family "Bacterial small subunit ribosomal RNA", at positions 61 to 707 of the family's 1533-position model. Lineage: Bacteria; Bacillati; Actinomycetota; Actinomycetes; Mycobacteriales; Dietziaceae. The record is from RNAcentral.
GUCGAACGGUAAGGCCCUUUCGGGGGUACACGAGUGGCGAACGGGUGAGUAACACGUGGGUAAUCUGCCCUGCACUUCGGGAUAAGCCUGGGAAACCGGGUCUAAUACCGGAUAUGAGCUCCUGCCGCAUGGUGGGGGUUGGAAAGUUUUUCGGUGCAGGAUGAGUCCGCGGCCUAUCAGCUUGUUGGUGGGGUAAUGGCCUACCAAGGCGACGACGGGUAGCCGGCCUGAGAGGGUGAUCGGCCACACUGGGACUGAGACACGGCCCAGACUCCUACGGGAGGCAGCAGUGGGGAAUAUUGCACAAUGGGCGAAAGCCUGAUGCACCGACGCCGCGUGGGGGAUGACGGUCUUCGGAUUGUAAACUCCUUUCAGUAGGGACGAAGCGAAAGUGACGGUACCUGCAGAAGAAGCACCGGCCAACUACGUGCCAGCAGCCGCGGUAAUACGUAGGGUGCAAGCGUUGUCCGGAAUUACUGGGCGUAAAGAGCUCGUAGGCGGUUUGUCACGUCGUCUGUGAAAUCCUCCAGCUCAACUGGGGGCGUGCAGGCGAUACGGGCAGACUUGAGUACUACAGGGGAGACUGGAAUUCCUGGUGUAGCGGUGAAAUGCGCAGAUAUCAGAGGAAC